GUAUUUUCUCUUUUUUGACAAAACAGAUUGACGCUCUGUCGGCUCGUGUGCAGAGUAUUCUUGCUGUUUGGGGGAGAAGAUAUUCAUGGACGUCGAGGGCUUUGGUGUUUUUAUGUUAUGUGAUAUGACUAACUGCAAAGAUGCCUAAAAAAGAGAGGAGAAUCAAACAAACAAAGAAUGAGCUGCUUGAGGCCUCAAAAGGCAGUGGAUCCAGUUCCAGCUGGUUUAUGAAAAGCACAACGGAUUUAAAAACCUUGCAGCUCUUGGUGUGCAGCAGCCACUGUAAGCAAUCACCCUUGGCAUCAACUGCAGCACUACAGUAG
Long non-coding RNA from Triplophysa dalaica, 323 nucleotides. RefSeq lists it as uncharacterized. The record is from RefSeq and is a predicted model, not a curated record. The transcript is spliced from 3 exons. Lineage: Eukaryota; Metazoa; Chordata; Actinopteri; Cypriniformes; Nemacheilidae.